GCGGGGGCCUAGUGGUAAGGUAUUGGCUUCCGGCGCGAAGGGCUCCAUGUUCGAAACCUGAUUUCACUGUA
Araneus ventricosus is the source of this 71-nucleotide non-coding RNA. Lineage: Eukaryota; Metazoa; Arthropoda; Arachnida; Araneae; Araneidae. The record is from the annotation of a GenBank genome assembly.